CUCAGUGUUUUGUGCCUUGCAAAAAACCUGAGCCCUGGUAAGGGCUCCAGCUAAGUGUUAUGCACAGAAAUCUGUUGCAGAAUUUUCCUCAGAGGAUUACACAAACAUUAUGAAGUUGCAGCUGCUUUAGCUUGCUUUUCACUUCUUGUGUAUUGCCAGGCCUAGAGUUCGAGGUGGCUGUAGAACAGGAACAGUACAGACGCGUAUUACAGCCUUUCAGCCCUUGGUGACUCGGGCCAUUAGUUGCAGUGCCAAAUAGUAUGUGAUCAGCUUCUCAUUACGAACAGUAUUGAAACCUGUGUUGCCAAGGUGAUCUGACAGCCGUCUUUCCACAGGAACGAUUUUUGUCUGCUAGGACACUGGUACUGGCUAAGCGGUGAAAGUUUUGUAAGGACAUCGUGAAGGUUGGAGGUGAUUUCUUUCCAAACAUAUGGAAAAGAAAUUGGAGUGUGUAUCCUGGAUCUUUGCCAUUCAUUAGACAUGCAAAAAUGUUGGCAGUUGAGGGUGAGCUGAAGCAGGGGUGGGUAAAGCAAAACAUACCUGAAGUCUGCCUUUGAGCAGAUUUGCAGCUCCUAAAGUCUUCUGUGAUUUGGCCAGUCUGGAGUACUCAAAACCUUUCGCUUCAGUAAAAAAACAAAAGCUUCAACUCUGUUCUCUAAUUCUGUAGUAGGUGUCAGUGACAGUCUCAUGUGUGAAGAAUAAAGUCUCCGCUGUGUGCCA
RNAcentral lists this long non-coding RNA (720 nucleotides) under Apteryx rowi (Okarito brown kiwi). Its description in RNAcentral is "lncRNA (ENSARWG00000016675.1)". The record is from RNAcentral. Lineage: Eukaryota; Metazoa; Chordata; Aves; Apterygiformes; Apterygidae.